GAUGAACGCUGGCGGCGUGCCUAAUACAUGCAAGUCGAGCGAACAGACGAGGAGCUUGCUCCUCUGACGUUAGCGGCGGACGGGUGAGUAACACGUGGAUAACCUACCUAUAAGACUGGGAUAACUUCGGGAAACCGGAGCUAAUACCGGAUAAUAUAUUGAACCGCAUGGUUCAAUAGUGAAAGACGGUUUUGCUGUCACUUAUAGAUGGAUCCGCGCCGCAUUAGCUAGUUGGUAAGGUAGCGGCUUACCAAGGCAACGAUUCGUAGCCGACCUGAGAGGGUGAUCGGCCACACUGGAACUGAGACACGGUCCAGACUCCUACGGGAGGCAGCAGUAGGGAAUCUUCCGCAAUGGGCGAAAGCCUGACGGAGCAACGCCGCGUGAGUGAUGAAGGUCUUCGGAUCGUAAAACUCUGUUAUUAGGGAAGAACAAAUGUGUAAGUAACUAUGCACGUCUUGACGGUACCUAAUCAGAAAGCCACGGCUAACUACGUG
Molecule: ribosomal RNA, 497 nt
Filed under: uncultured bacterium
Lineage: Bacteria
Description: partial 16S ribosomal RNA
Rfam family: Bacterial small subunit ribosomal RNA
Source: RNAcentral